CAAUAGCGUAUAUUAAAGUUGUUGCAGUUAAAAAGCUCGUAGUUGGAUUUGUGGCGUACGGUGGGUUCCGGGCACUUGUUGUCUGAGUAACUUGCUUUUGCCAUCCUUGGGUGGAACCUGUGUGGCAUUAGGUUGUCGUGCAGGGGAUGCCCAUCAUUUACUGUGAAAAAAUUAGAGUGUUCAAAGCAGGCUUAUGCCGUUGAAUAUAUUAGCAUGGAAUAAUGAGAUAGGACUUUUUUGCUAUUUUGUUGGUUUGCGCAAAGAGGUAAUGAUUAAUAGGGACAGUUGGGGGUAUUCGUAUUCCAUUGUCAGAGGUGAAAUUCUUGGAUUUUUGGAAGACGAACUACUGCGAAAGCAUUUACCAAGGAUGUUUUCAUUAA
Molecule: ribosomal RNA, 380 nt
Filed under: uncultured eukaryote
Lineage: Eukaryota
Description: partial 18S ribosomal RNA
Rfam family: Eukaryotic small subunit ribosomal RNA
Source: RNAcentral